CAAAAAACAGCUCUCCUCGAACACAGCAUUACACAUCAUCAUAACUUCGAUGUAAACAAGGUGAAGAUACUCGAUCAACAUAACCGAACGACAGCUCUUCCUAUAUUGGAAAUGUGUCAUAUCAUCAACCAGCAAAAAACUGUAAACAAACGCACAGAUACCGACGGACUUAGUUGUAUAUAUGCAGGAAUUCUACAAACACUACAUAAUAGAAACUAUAAAACUGACAACACUUACACUACCGAUACUACCAUACGCACGAUUAUAGCAAACACUCAACAACCGUCAAGUUCAGUACAGUUACCAGAUCGAAUAUAGCGCUUUUUCCCUCGUUCUCUACCCGCGAAACAGAAUCGUUUCAAACGCAGAAAAAUUUCAAAAAAUACAGUAGGUGCAUGAAUAUGCGAACAAUAGCACUAUUAGAUGACGCGUAUACAUUAGGACAGUUCAUGUUUUACCACAACAUUACACUUUACAAGAAAACACAAAGUUUUUAAUCCUUGAUAAAGGUGGAAUAAAUCCAUUGAAACGUUGGAAGUAAAAGCAAUAUUGUUGUUUUCGCUGUCUAAUUUAUGACUGAUUAGCCG
This is a long non-coding RNA of Topomyia yanbarensis, 587 nucleotides long. RefSeq lists it as uncharacterized. The record is from RefSeq and is a predicted model, not a curated record. The transcript is spliced from 3 exons. Lineage: Eukaryota; Metazoa; Arthropoda; Insecta; Diptera; Culicidae.